CCUACGGGAGGCAGCAGUGAGGAAUAUUGGUCAAUGGCCGAGAGGCUGAACCAGCCAAGUCGCGUGAGGGAAGACGGCCCUACGGGUUGUAAACCUCUUUUGUCGGGGAGCAAAGAGAGUCACGUGUGACUCAUUGAGAGUACCCGAAGAAAAAGCAUCGGCUAACUCCGUGCCAGCAGCCGCGGUAAUACGUAGGGGGCAAGCGUUAUCCGGAAUUACUGGGUGUAAAGGGAGCGUAGACGGUUAAGUAAGUCUGGAGUGAAAGGCCGGGGCCCAACCCCGGGACUGCUCUGGAAACUAUUGAACUUGAGUGCAGGAGAGGUAAGCGGAAUUCCUAGUGUAGCGGUGAAAUGCGUAGAUAUUAGGAGGAACACCAGUGGCGAAGGCGGCUUACUGGACUGUAACUGACGUUGAGGCUCGAAAGCGUGGGGAGCAAACAGGAUUAGAUACCCCGGUAGUC
Molecule: ribosomal RNA, 460 nt
Filed under: uncultured bacterium
Lineage: Bacteria
Description: partial 16S ribosomal RNA
Rfam family: Bacterial small subunit ribosomal RNA
Source: RNAcentral